UGUGAUCAGUCAGCAUUUAUUUAUUUAAAUGUAAUGUCUGCAAUGACUCAGCAGUUUAUAUUAACCUAAAUCUAAAUCUGCAGUGCUCUGAUUGGACAGCAUGAAACAACAUACUGUAGUUUUUGUUAGACUUUGAUGAUAAAAUACAAAACUGAAAUUGCAUUGAAUUGAAAUUUAAUAGAUAGAUAGUUUAUCAGCCACAUGUUUUGGGUACAGUAUUUUAUAUUCUGCAGCACAAACACAUUAAUGGACAACAGCAGACAAUCAACAUAUCAUUACAACACAGUACAGGGAUACAGUCAACAUAUCAUCCCAGAAACAUAGUACACACAACCAUAUACAGCAGGUGCACGGUAAUGCGUGUAAGUAGUGUGUGAGGAGGGGCUAGAGGGAGGAGGUCAGAGUCAAAAAGCUGUGCAGCCUUUAGUCCUAGCGGACAGUGAGCUGUAGCGCCUCCCUGAGGGACGGAGCUGGAGGAGGUGAUGAGCAGGAUGUGAGGAGUCGGACAUGAUCUUUGUUUGUUUACAGUUGGCUGAGUAUGUAAAGAUUCAGCUGAGGCUGCUGGAAACUGACUGCGGCCACCUGAUCCCGUACGCUGUCCAGGUGAGGCGCAGUUCAUCUCAAACGAGCCAUUUAUGACGUCAUGAGAACGCAUUAUCUCUCACUGCCAGGAGGGGGAGACAAAAGUUCUGCACUGCAGGUUUAAUGCAAUCCUGCAAGUCACUGUUUGAUUCAGCUCUUUCCUCUGGAGGAGUCAUCCGCAGUGUGUCGCCCCUCUUUUACAUACAUCUCUGUAAAGCUCCGAGCAGAGAAGGAGGCGACCCCCGGUCCAUUUACUGACUCAUCACAGAGCCUGACCGCCGUUUCAUCUCUACUGUCACACGAGCGCUGACAGUGAAAGUCCAUUUCUGAUUUUAAUUAUUGUUUGCAGUAAUGAUUGUUCUCAUGUUGCAGCCUUCACUCAGAUUUUUUUAAAUAGCCUUUUUUUAUUUUAGAUAUUUUAUAUGGUCUGCGGGUGAAGCAGCAUAAUCACUACGAGGAGGAUACGUUCUCGUCUCCACCAGGGAUUAAAAUGCAAAUCGCACCCUGGAGGUAUUAAUCAUUAAAUCUUAAUAAAUCCACACACUGGAGGUGUGUUAAUAAGGAGGUAUUGAUAAUCUGAUUAUUAAUAAUCUGAUUAUUGAUACCUUUAGUGAGUAAACAUUAAGUCAGAAAGAUUUUAAAAGAUUUACCUCAGAGAGAUUUCUCCAGAUGAUCUCACAUUACAAGCUGAAGACUUCCUGUCUGGUCUCUCUCUCAUCAAAAGUGAAAGUUAAACCAGAGUCACAUAAACAGACUGCUGGUCAGCUGUGUCCUCCUCCUCCUCCUCCUCCUCCUCCUCCUCCUCCUCCUCCUCCACUUUAUCUUCAUUAUCUUUGUGUUUAUUGGCAGAAACCAUAAAAGCUGCAAAGCUUCACACUGAUGUGUAGAAUCAUGACAUCACAGUUUGACUCCACUGAUUUGAUGGAAUGGAUUAGUUUAUUUUAUUUGUUUGUUUGCACAUUUUUAAAAAAUAAAGUUUUAUAAAGUAUUUUAUGGUUUGAUUUUUACACAAAGUGUCGCAA
Long non-coding RNA from Thunnus maccoyii (southern bluefin tuna), 1604 nucleotides. RefSeq lists it as uncharacterized. The record is from RefSeq and is a predicted model, not a curated record. NCBI's taxonomy places the organism in Eukaryota, Metazoa, Chordata, Actinopteri, Scombriformes, Scombridae. The transcript has 3 exons.